RNAcentral lists this ribosomal RNA (406 nucleotides) under Caldanaerobacter sp. AK113. RNAcentral's name for it is "bacterial SSU rRNA". It matches the Rfam family "Bacterial small subunit ribosomal RNA", at positions 301 to 723 of the family's 1533-position model. Lineage: Bacteria; Bacillati; Bacillota; Clostridia; Thermoanaerobacterales; Thermoanaerobacteraceae. The record is from RNAcentral.
CGGUCGGCCCUCCUGGGGGAGGCAGCAGGCCCAGACUCUUACCAGAGGCAGCAAUCGGGAAUCUUCGGCAAUGGGUGAAAGCCGGAGGCAGGGAGGUCGUAAGACCGAAUAAGACGUUAGGGUCGUAAAACUGGAUAACAGCGUAAGAAGGAAAGACUGCACCCCAAGAAAGCCCCGGCUAACUACGUGCCAGCAGCCGCGGUAAGACGUAGGGGGCGAGCGUUGUCCGGAGUUACUGGGCGUAAAGGGCGCGUAGGCGGUUUAGCAAGUCAGGUGUAAAAGACCACGGCUCAACCGUGGAGGUGCACCUGAAACUGCUAGGCUAGAGGGCAGGAGAGGGGAGUGGAAUUCCCGGUGUAGCGGUGAAAUGCGUAGAUAUCGGGAGGAAUACCAGUGGCGAAAGGCG